GAUGAAGAACGUAGUGAAAUGCGAUAAGUAGUGUGAAUUGCAGAAUUCAGUGAAUCAUCGAAUCUUUGGACGCACAUUGCGCCCCAUGGUAUUCCGUGGGGCAUGCCUGUUCGAGCGUCAUUUACCCCCUCAAGCUCCGCUUGGUGUUGGGCGUCUGUCCCGCUUCGCGCGCGGACUCGCCCCAAAGGUAUUGGCAGCGGUCGUGCCAGCUUCUCGCGCAGCACAUUGCGCUUCUCGAGGCACCGGUGGGCCCGCGUCCAUCAAGCUCACCCCCCCAGUUUGACCUCGGAUCAGGUAGGGAUACCCGCUGAACUUAAGCAUAUCAAUAAGCGGAGGA
This 337-nucleotide unclassified non-coding RNA is filed under the name soil metagenome. RNAcentral describes it as "partial contains 5.8S ribosomal RNA, internal transcribed spacer 2, and large subunit ribosomal RNA". The stretch from base 1 to 120 matches the Rfam family "5.8S ribosomal RNA", at positions 35 to 154 of the family's 154-position model. The record is from RNAcentral.